GCCGGUUUAGCUCAGCUGGUAGAGCAGCGGUUUUGUAAACCGAAGGUCGCGGGUUCGAGUCCUGCAACCGGCACCA
RNAcentral lists this transfer RNA (76 nucleotides) under Caulobacter sp. Its description in RNAcentral is "tRNA-Thr". It matches the Rfam family "tRNA". Rfam says of the family: Transfer RNA (tRNA) molecules are approximately 80 nucleotides in length. RNAcentral also lists the same sequence under 16 other names. Lineage: Bacteria; Pseudomonadati; Pseudomonadota; Alphaproteobacteria; Caulobacterales; Caulobacteraceae. The record is from RNAcentral.